This 1452-nucleotide long non-coding RNA is filed under the name Fukomys damarensis (Damara mole-rat). Its description in RNAcentral is "lncRNA (ENSFDAG00000021907.1)". Lineage: Eukaryota; Metazoa; Chordata; Mammalia; Rodentia; Bathyergidae. The record is from RNAcentral.
CCCGGCGCUUUGCAUAGCGGCGCAUAAGGAGGGAAUAGGGCCUCUGUCAAACGGGCCUUAAGGCACACUCCAAUUUGAAGUUCAGUGAUGCUGCAUUCUACCAAAAGUCACAGAGGUACAUGGAAGCCCUACGGGGAUCCUGAGACACAGCAAAUACACAGAGAAGACCCCCAGGCUGACUCCUCAGUCUCAUUCCUUCCCCACUUGGAGGCCAAGAUCCGUCAGACACACAGCCUUGCCCGCCUCCUCACCAAAUAUGCUGAGCAGCUGCUCCAGGAAUAUGUGAGUGAAAAUGGGGGUCGGGGUGCCAAGGGCUUGGGGAUGGGGGAGCACAUGUCACAGCGGUCCUCCAUCACCCGUUCCCUUAAUCCAUCCCCAGCUGUGGAAAUUGAGGCUUUGGAGAGGGACAGUAGCUGGCUGCUGGCCACACAACAAGUUGGAGGAGGACCCUAUAUGAUAACCUGUCUGCCUCAGCUUGGACACUCCCUCCUUGGUGCUUAAAAUCAGAAACAGCCUGAGAGAGCAGGAACCUGAGAUUAGGUUCCAGGUGACCGUGUCACACGUGGAAGUGAACUGUUCUAACUGGAAUAUACAGAGAGGCCAAGAAAGGCAAAAAUUCUGCACCACAAGGGAACUUUUAGAGAACACAGGCGUCUGCCAAUAUUUUUGCCUAAAGAAAGAAGAUAAUCUUCUAAGCACCUUAGUGUGGUGGAAGAAGGCUGUAGUUUUGUAUCAGACAGACUGUAAACCUGCCUGAUUUAUGACAGUGGACAGUAUUUCCCCAGUGAUGAGUGUGAAAUACUGUGUUUAAAGUAACAAACGUAAUGCCUGAGCCAGAGGCAAGAUGUUUACAAAGGAAAAUGUUAUUAUAGCAUUUGACAAAUUGCAGAUCACUUUUAUCUUUCACUGUUUAUUCAAAUGACAAUUAGUGACUCAUCGAGUCCCUGCUCAAUACCUGUACAAAGGUGGGGGAGGAUGGGAAGAGGUGUGUCUUCCACGAUAGCCAAGGGGUCCUGGUAGAAAGAAAAAAGAGGGAGCAAGCAGUUUCCUCAAUAUAUAGCUAAGAAGACUGAGGCACCUAGGAGCUUUUGCCCGAGCGGCGCAACUAGUAAGUGGCCAAGGCAAGACAACAUUAAUAAAAGCAGCUAACGUUUAUGAGCCCUUGUGGGGCCGGGCCCCGUCCUAAGCACUCCACGCGCACACCCGCCCUGUGGAGCCCGCGCCGUCAAGGCUCAUUCCCGGGGAAGAGGAGAAGGUGCGGUAAGAAGACUGAGGCACCUAGGAGCUUUUGCCCGAGCGGCGCAACUAGUAAGUGGCCAAGGCAAGACAACAUUAAUAAAAGCAGCUAACGUUUAUGAGCCCUUGUGGGGCCGGGCCCCGUCCUAAGCACUCCACGCGCACACCCGCCCUGUGGAGCCCGCGCCGUCAAGGCUCAUUCCCGGGGAAGAGGAG